This is a non-coding RNA of Monodelphis domestica (gray short-tailed opossum), 34918 nucleotides long. NCBI's taxonomy places the organism in Eukaryota, Metazoa, Chordata, Mammalia, Didelphimorphia, Didelphidae. The record is from RefSeq and is a predicted model, not a curated record.
UCUUUGUUUCCAGUGAAUAAUGUAUGAAAAUGACCAAAUAAAAUAAUGUUUAAAAAAAAAAAAAGGAGUAGAGAGGGAGCGGCCUGAACACCAUCUGAAGUAGCUAGAGUUCAAAUUUCUAUGAUGCUUUGUGCAUUAGAAAACAUUUUUCUCUUAAAACCUCCAUAUGGUGCCCUAUUAGAUGUAUUAUUAUGUUCAUUCUACAGGCAAGAAAACUGACAUUCAGGAUGUAAAUGACAGUGUAAGUAACUAACUGGCAUCACACAGUCAUUCAUGGCUGGACUGCCAUUUGCAUUUAGCUUAUCUGACCCACGUAGCUAGAAUUUUUGCCAUUGGAAGGGCCUUGCCCCACAUUCCUGCUCUUCUCUCUUCCUGAUUAUCAUGGCAUGUCUAUAGACUUCUCACUCCACACCUUUGGUACCUCAUUUACUCUGGUUUUUCCUCUAUCUUUCUAUCAAAACUGCCCCACUUUAUUUGCCUUGAUCUCAGCUUUCGGGAAAUUAAAUUAAUACCCAGAUGGAUAAUUGGUAACAGGUUGAUAAUAAAACUUUCCUGAAUUUUCAGCUAGUAUGGCAGUAGGGGAAGAGAGAACUUUGAUUUGUCCCUUGUGUAAGAUCACAUUGUCACCUGCCUCUGGUGUUCCAUUUGGAAGGCAAGCCAUCCCUGUUUGUAGAGACAGGUUAAAAUCAAGAAAAAGAAGUGACAGAAAUUAUGUAAUCUCUUUAGAGACAUAACUAAUGGAAAAAAUUCCUUUGAUGUUUAGAAUUCAUCUUAAUUCCAUAUUUUAUAUUCUUUAGAAAAAGAUUGAUAUUAAUACUGUUAUCAUAAGGCAGGCACAUAAGACCUUCAAAAAUAGAUCAUUUUAGCUGGGUGACCCUGGGCAAGUCACUUAACCCUAGUUGCCUAGUCCUUACUGCUCUUCUGACUUGUAAUCAAUACUGGUAUCAAUUCCAAGUCAGAAGAUAAGGGUUGAAAAAAAGUUUCUUUGAAUAAAUUCCCAAAAUUCAGUGAGUCUUUUCCUAUUUUGAGUCUACACUGGUAAAAGCAGUGUUAGGGCAUAAUAGGGUGGGAAACAAAUACACCCUCAUUGGAACGAGCAUCAGAUAAAAAGGCGACUUUGGUCAUUACUGAUCAAUAGUGACUUGACUUCUACUUGGUUCGUUUUAAUCUGAAGAGGAAAAAUUAAGGGAAAUGCUUGUUACUUGUUUAGAAUUCGUUGGAUUCUACCCUUAAUUCUCUGAACUCAGCAUAAUAAAGGUCCUUGAAUUGCCAAAGAUCCUUAAUUUCCAUGGUUACAUAUUUAAGAAUAUGGUUUUCAGUUUUUGUUCUUUCACAUUUUUCAGCUAUGAGAAAAUAUGCUCAAUUGUAUGAGAAAUCAUUUUAAAGAGGAUUCAUUUUUUUCAAGUAUUUUAAUGAGGAUUCCAAUAAAUAAUAAAUCAUUUAGCAUUUAUGAAGCACCUACUGUGAUCCAGACACUGGGCAAAGUGGUAGGAGAUACCAAGACGAACAAAAUGAAUAUCCCUGCGAUCAAAGAACUCACAUCCUUUUAAAAUAUCCUUACUCUCUGUCCUGGUAUCUCUCUACUCUAGUAUCAGUUCUAAGACAGAAGAGCAGCAAAGGCUAGGCAAAUCAGAUUAAGUGACUUGCCCAGAGUCAUACAGCUAGGAAGUGUGUGAAACCAGAUUUGAACCUAGAUGCCCCAAAGUCCAGGUCUGACACUCAUCCACUGAACUUCCUAGUUGUAACAAAGAGCUUAGAUUUUAUCAGUUGAAUAACAGCUCACCCGAUGAACCAACUAACCCUGGAAAUGAAUGAGCACAGUGUUCAGUAACAAAGAAAAAAUUCAGAAACACUUUACUUUUGUUAACUCUAUGGUUUAAGGUGCUUUUUUUUUUUUAAAAGAUAUUUGCAAGAUUCCAGGAAUUUUUCAGAAAUAUCUUUUAUCCUGUUACCCAACUUGAUAGAAUAUUAGUAAGGAUUUUAUUUUAGAGAGAUAGAAUGUUCCAAAGACUUUCCUAAAUUACUGAAAUGGUAAUUGUUCCCUCCUCAUUUCCCUAAGCUCUCUGAAGACAUCCUAAGGACUACAGUGUAUACAUAGGUGCUUGAUAAAUAUUGAAUUAGUGAAGAAUUCCUGAGGCUCAGUCAAGAGUACUAUGAAGGUCAAAUUAUAUAACGCCUCAAUUUCCUUUUUUGUAAAACAAGGACAAAACCCCUUGUAGUAUUUACCCUCACAAUGAGAUGAUUGUAAAGUGCUAUGUAGUACUCCAUGUGGCUAGCAUAGUACUACUAUAUAUAAAUGUCAGAUAUUAUUACUGUAUUGUCAUUGAGAAGAUAAAAGGAAUAAAUUAUGCAUAUCAAUCAUUUGUUAUAAUGGUAGUGAAUUGAUUGUGAGAAACAGUUUCCGCUGGAUUACUUAGAGGCAUCAUAGAUGGUGGAUAGAAUUCUGCUGGGCUUCAUAUUUGGAAACCUUCAGUUUGAACCCCAUCCCUGGUAUUUAUGACCUUUGUGAUACUGGAGAAACUAAUUCAUUUCAGUUUCCCAAGACUUAACUACUAAGUCUUAGAUGGGUUAGGAUCCGCGUUGGUGACUGGGUAACCACACUGGGAGAUUCUCAAGAUGACAAAAUCACAGAGACUUGCAUUAGCCCAAUGUCUGAUACUCCUGAAAUCUUCCAUUUUUUCUUAAUGAUGAGACAUUAUGUAUUUUCCAUCUACAUCUAUUUGCAUGAAUUUUAAUGUCGUUAUAAGAGGUGCCAUGAAUUUCACUGAUAUUAGCAUGAAAUCCUUUGGAAGACCUCCAGCACUGUGGCAGGACUAUGGGGUACUCAAAUAGAGCUCAGCAUCAUUUUAAAAAACGCGUGCAAUGAAAUAUUGUGAUAGUCAAUGAGCAAGUAUUAAGCAUGGUGGGGAUGCCCAAGCAAAAAUGAAGAAGCCCUUCCCUCAAAGAGCUUCUAUUUUAUUUCAGGGAUUCUCAACCUUUUAUGUAGCCCCUUUAGUCCCUGGCUUUCAAUGGAAUCUUCUGGUAACCUCUAUUAUAAAUGAAAGAAAUACAUUCUAGAGUUACCACCCACAUAUGCAUAGGAAAUAAACUAUAAUAAAGAGAUUAAUUUCCCAUAAAGAAAACUAGCUUGUGCAUAAUAUUUUUAGUAUUCUAAAGUGGUCGACUAUGUAUCAAUUUACCCAAUCUAUUCACUGAUUGCUACUUUUAUAAUAUUUUAAUAGAAUAAUUUAUAUAUUUUCCUAAUAUUUCCAGUAUUCCCUUGACAAACUUCCUGUGACCUCUGGAAGUAUAUGCACCCCUGGUUGGGAACCCUUCACCAAUUUGAUGGUCCAUUAUAUUCAUUUGUGUAUUCAUAUUUUAAAUUAAUUGUCUCAUGUUGGUUUGAGAGCUGUAUUGGUUCUGAAGAGGCAUGUCUGACUAUUUUUGACCCCUUUUGGGGCUUUUCACCAUGUGUUUGGCCAUCUCCUUAUCCAGCACAUUUUACAGAUGAAGAAACUGAGGCCAACAGGGUGAAGUAACUUGUUCAGGGUCAUACAACUACUAAGUGUCUCAGGCUGAAUUUGAACUCAGAUUUUCCUGACUCUUUGCCACCUAGCCACCAUUCAAUCAAUAGCAGCAUUGCUUGUUGGAUAAGGAAAUGGCUUUGGAGUCAGGAAGCCUGUCUGAUCCAUAUUGCCUUUACCACCCAGAACAAAUUCCUUCAUAUCCCAGGCAAAAUUCUAUGAGUCUAAAUUGCUGAUAAAUGGCUGAUCUGCACUGAAAAAAGGAAGUUUCAUAAUAGAAAAUUCCCCCUGCCUAUGAAAUACUAGGUCUGAUAAAAAUAACAACUAAAUGAAUAAUCUUGUCCAAAAUGGACUGUUAAAGGUUUCUCAAAGAUGCAAUUGGAUAAUCACCUUGAAUUUGAAGAACAAACAUUGCUUAUAAAAUGGAGAUUCUUUCUUCUCAUUAACCAUUCCUCUGAGCUCUCAAUACCUGGAGAGAGCAUUGGAGAUCCAUUGAAUUAGUGCCCCAGAAGAUGAACUAUAUCAGGACAUUCAAGUCCAGAGGGAAGAGCAGAGAAUGAAGUUCAGUAAAGAAAAGAAGGAAGGGGAUGGGACAAAGGGGAUAAAGAUGGGAGAAGAGAAGGUGAGAAGCUGUGAGGAGCUAGAAGUGAAUGUAGGUGGAUUGUCAGGAUGUGAGAGGGAUAAUGGGAGCUCCCACAAGAGGAAGAUACAAUCACAACUAAAACUAAAAAUAUUUUCUUCCUUGCGAGAUGCUAAAUGCCCUCCACACUGGGAGAAGAGCCUGGAAUUGUCAUUAAAGGUUUACAACAUAGACAAAGUAUUGUGAGUUUUUAGCAUGUUCUGUGGGUUGCAAUUCCUUUGGAUCACUCUGUAUCAGCAGUGGAUAUGAAAUGGAUGAGUUUCCUGGAGGGAGAAAGAUUAGCAGAGAUCAGGCAGAGAGGGAAUUGAAUUUUUGCUUCAUUUUUUUAAAUCACCUGGAGACCAAAUGAGAUGUGGGACUAAAGAAUUGCAGGACUAUACUUCUUUGGUCAUUCAUUGUUGAGGUCUUACUCUUGAGUGGGACUACAGAACAAAUAAUAAUUGUAAUGACUAGAAUUUAGAGUGCUUUAAGGUUUGUAAGGGCUUUUAAAAUAGAAUAAUAAUGAUGUUCAGUUGUUUUGUUCCGUCAUAUCUGAUUCUUUGUGGCCUCAUUUGGGGAUUUCUUGGCAGAGAUACUGGAAUGAUUUGUCAAUUCCCUCUCCAGCUUAUUUUCCAGAUGAGGAAACUGAGGCAAACAGAGUUAAUUGAUUUUCCCAGGGAUAUACAGCUAGUAUAAGUAUCUGAGAUCAGAUUUAAACUCAGGAAAAUGAGUCUUCCUGACUUCAGAACUAUUGUGCCACCUCCCUGCCCAAUAAUAAUAAUAACAGCAAUUAUGUAGUGCCUACUAUGGACCAGGGACUGUAUUAAGCACUUUAUCAUUAUUAUUUCACUUGAUCAUCAUAGCAAUGCUGGGAGAUAGAUGCUAUUAUUAGCCCUAUUUUAUAGAUGAGGAAACUAAGGCAAAUAGAAGUUUAGUGACUUAUCCCGGGUCACACAGCUAGCAAAUAUCUGAGUCCAGAUUGGAACCCAGGUUCCUCUGACUCCAGAUUCAAUACCAUCCAUUAAACCACUGUUACUUUGCAGGACUGCAGUUUUAGAGCCCAAAGAAACGUUAGAGGUCAACCCCUUCAUAUCAAUAAGGAAAAAUAAAUUGGAGAGAGGUUAAGUGACUUCUUCAGUAAGUGUUUAAGGCAGAAUUUGAACCCAAGUCUUCCUGAUUCCAAGUCCAGUGCUCUAACCACUACUCUGCAUUGCUAGAGGAUUUUAACCCAGAUUUAUUUCACACAGUCCAAAGCACAAAAUACAAAAAUAUAAAUCUCCUUCUCCUCCAUUUAACUGAUGAUGUAAAUGGUCCAUUGGCCUGGCAGACAGGAGACCUAGACUGAAGUCCUCUGGCCCUGAUUCAUGGGUUAAUGAAUCCUCCCUGAAGCUUGUUUUUCUCCUGUGUAAAUUGGGAUGAUCCAAUUUGCUGCCUCAAAGGAUCAUGAAAGGACUAUAAGAAGGAUAUUUAAAGUGUCCCUUGUCUUGGCAGAAGAGGGUUCUCAGAUCUAAAGUAAUUACAAGCCAUCACCACCAAAGGAGAGCAAAUGCUCCCCAUAUUAAUAAGAUUCAUGGCCCCAGGUCAUUUUGGAGGGAGGGCAACAGAUGAGCUGACAGGUCUCCAGCUUCCUCCUUAGCUUCUAAAUGGCAGGGAAGUAAGUAGUCAAGCAUUUUUAUUGUGAACUUCCUUUUAUAAUCCUGAGUUUGUUCUGAGCUUUUCCUCACACUGUACCUUCUUUUCUCAACUGCUAGAGAAGGUGUCUCACCCCCCACUCCAACAUGGUGAGCACUCCUGAGUCUAAACCAUGAUUUUAGGUAACACUGUUGACAUUAGGCUGGGUCAGAAAACAGCUUGGUUGCAUGGGGACACUUCCUGUCAUCAUCUUUAAGACCCAAUGCCCUAUUUUUUCCAUAAACACUGUAAUGUGGAAGUUAUUUAGGGCAGCUCUUAGGAAUCAUGGCUGGCCGGAAAAGCGAAGCUACACAGGUAGCAAGCUGGAUGCUUCUGGUGCUGAUGUCUCCCUGCAAAAGCAGCAGGGAGGUACAUCCACUGGUCUCUUGUAGGGACCACUUUGCACUGAUGUAAAUUUAUUCCUUUUGCAUUUAUCCAGCACACACUUAUGAAUGUCCUGUUUGUCGUCCCUUAGCCUCUCUGCUGCUUAGGAUGGUUUCAUUUGUUGUCUUUGUAUCCCUAGCACCUGGCCCAGAGAAAUCACUUCAUAAAUGCGUCUUGGUUCAUUAAUUGAUAGAUAGAUAAGGGCUGCCUAGACAGGCCACAGCAGGAGCUUUUCUUCAAUUCCAAAAGCCUCCGUUCUAGAGUCCAAUGACGCUCACUUUGACACAAGACUGGCAAAGGCAGCAUGAUUCUCAGAGAAAAGCUUCUGGAAUGGAAAGCCAAGAAUUUGUGUCCAUUGUUUUCUCCGUACUGAUGGCUGAUGACUCUUAUCCCUUCUCUCUUCCUUAACUCUAUGCUUUGAUGGGAAAACUGCUAUUUCAUUCCCCCCACCCACAAACCAGAUUUGGAAAGAAGUUGAUAGAAGUUUCCUUGUAAAUCUCAGCAUUUAAAAAUGUUCUCAGUCUCUAUGCACUCUUUUGCACAUAAAGAAGCUGAUCUAUCAUUGAUCCCCCUUUUGUUUAGUCUGAAUUCAGACCCCUAUGCAAUUCUUUAUGGCUAACAUCCCUCAGGGAUCCCCACAAUUAGCAAUCUUGGGCAUGGGAAAUAGAGCUUAAUUUCUGAUUGACUCCAAAUAAAGUGGGUAUGAUCUCAAGCUGGUAUGUGACAAGGAAGAGGUGUGCCUACUUUUCAGUCGCUAUGACUUUAUCAGUGAGCACCUACUAUGUGCCAUUGUGCUGACUGCUGAGGAUCAAAAGAAAAGGUAAAAACUUGGCUCCUGCUCUAAAGGAUCCCACCUUCUAAUGAAAUAGACAACAUGUAAAUAGCUAAAUGCCUACAAGACAUAUAGUAUUUCAAAGGUUAGAGGCUAUCUAUCUAUCUAUCUUUCUAUCUGUCUGUCCAUCCGUCUGUCUGUCUAUCUAUCUAUCUAUCUAUCUAUCUAUCUAUCUAUCUAUCUAUCUACCUACCUACCUAACUGUCUGUCCAUCCAUCCAUCCAUCCAUCCAUCCAUCCAUCUAUCUAUCUAUCUAUCUAUCUACCUACCUACCUAACUGUCUGUCCAUCUAUCCAUCCAUCCAUCCAUCCAUCUAUCUAUCUAUCUAUCUAUCUAUCUAUCUAUCUAUCUAUCUGUCUGUCUGUCUAUCUAUCCACCUGUCUAUCUGUCCAUCCAUCUCUCUCUGUCUAUCAGUCUAUCUAUAUAUCUAUCCAUUCAUCUAUUCUUUUUCAUCUGUGUACUAUAUAUACAUAUAUCUCCAUACACAUAAGUACAUAUCUAUAUUUGUAUGCACACAUCUGUAUUUUAUAGAUAGGUGAAUAAAGAAAGACAGACAGGUGAUAGAUAGAUAGAAGGAUAGAGAUAGACAGCUAUAGAUGGAUGGAGAGAGAGCCAGAUAGAUGGAUGGUUAGAUAGAUAGAUGGAGAUAGAAAUAUAGGUGGAUAGAUAGAUUCUGGCCUUUUCCUGUCAAGAAUAAGGAUCCCUGUUUUCUCUUGUCUUCUCUCAUUGACCUAGUAAUUCACAGGGUGUGAUUAAAUUUCUCCUUUUCUUAGGAAGCUAGAUCUGUCUUGGCAUGUGAGGCUCCUUGUGAAGCCUCAUUAAAACAAAAAUAUGAUAUGCAGCUGUGAUGUUUUCAAAUGGUGAAACAAAGGCGUUGUUUACUAUAAUAAAUAAAGCCAAAGUGUAGACCAUGUCAUCUUGACCUUUGAAUCGAAAUACUUAAAAAUCUCAGUCCAUACCUCACAUCACCAUGUCUAAAGAGAUCUGCCUAGAUUAGAGGGCUGACUAAAGCUUGUUAUUCUAAAGUCCAUUCCAGACUGGAGUUCUCUUUGCUUCUUUCCAUCUUUUUCCUCUCAUCCUUGUUAUGGUGCUGAUCAUCAGAGUUAGAAUUGUAGAAACAAGAAUCAUAUCUCUUGGGUUUGUCAUCAGGUACAUUAUCUGAUGACUAGCAUGGAGAACACAAAGAGGAACUGUAUGUGAAAAGGCUGGGAUGGCAGUUGGGAAUAUGCCUGGGAAGGGUCUGCUCUGUUAGAAUCAGGACUCCACUCUGUUGGCAGACAUUGGGAAGCCAUCACAGGCUUUUGAGCAGAGGCAGAUUAUGGUGAGAGCGAUGUAUUCAGAAGAUGAUUUGGGCAGUGUUAGAGAUAGGUUGGAGAUAUUCCAUCCAAGGGAACAGGAGGAAUGCUUGGUAUGCAAUUCUUGGAGUCUUCGAUUGAUUUUCUAUUAAAUAUGUUCCUGUUGGGUGGAAAUGAUUCAGUUCAGUUCAGCAAACAACUAAACUUUUGUUCCUAUCUGUGCCUUCUGGGGCCAAACCUUAUCAUUCAGGAAAUGCAUUAAAGGACUGAUUGUUUCCUGCCUUCAGUAAUAACAUUAAUGACCAAUAUUAAUCUGCCCCAAAAUUCUACAAGCAGCCUUCUUCACAAGGCCUCUCUGAGGUAGACAAUGCACACAUUUCCAAUUUAUAGAUCACUGGAAGUAGCUAGGUGGUGCAGUAGAUAUGAUGCCUGACAUUUAGUCAGGAAGACCUGAGUUCCAGUGCAACCCUAGAAAUUUAUUAGUUGUGUGACCCUGGACAAGUCACUUAAUACUGUUUGCCUCAAUUUCCUAAUCUUUAACAUGAGCUGGAGGAGGAAAUGGCAAACCACUCCAGCAUCUCUGCCAAGAAAACCCCUGGGGUGGACAUGGAGAGUCAGAAAUGACUGAAACAACUGAAAAAACAUAGAUGAUUAAUUCGAGGUAUUUGUUUACACAGCCUGAAGGAAUCAGUUGGGAUUUGAUCCCUGGUCAGGUCUAUGAGGUAGCUACCUAAAGUCACAUGUUAGAUUAGUGACAAAACUCUGGUCCUUCGAUUCUAAUGAUCUUCUUCUCCAUAUGUCCUCUGAUCUCGGACUCCCUCGCUGCGUUAUAAAGCAGUCACUGUCAGUUUGUUAUGUGUUCUAGGCACUCUAUAUUUAAAAACAAAAAAAAAGGCAAAGAUAUAAGUAAAACCUAAGUGAAUUUUCAUGAUCUGCUGUUAAAGGUAAUCUGAGCAUCUGGAAAGAACAUUAGAUCACAGAUUUAGAACAAGAAAAUAUUUUAUGGAAAAAAAAAAGGAAUUUAAUCUCCUCAUUUAUAGAGAGGGAAACUGAGGUAUGGAGGAGAGCUAAAAUGUGGGGAAAAGUCCCAGAAUCAAAGGAUGUCUGUUUAAAUUUUGUCUGUUAUAUGAUCUUGGAUACUUCAUUUCUUCUCUGGGUCUCAGUUUCAAAGAAUCCUAUAUUUAGGAUUAGAAGAAAUCUCAGAAGCCUCCAAGUCCAACUCCCUCAUUUCACAUUUGAGGAAACUGAGGCAGACAAAGGCUAAUUGAUUUUCCCAGAGUCAUGCAGCUGGUAAUCUGAGACCAGAUUUGAACCCAGAUAUUCCUGACUCCAGGCCCUCCUCUAUGCCUCCUCUGUAAAAUGAGGAAGUUGGAUUUGGUCAUGGAGGUCCCUUCCAACUCUAAAAAUCAGUAAUCUCUGAGGUAGGCACAGCAUCAGAGAAAAAGAUUUCGCAAAUAAAUAAAGGGGGAAAAGGACUCAUAGAGGGAAAGGGUAAGAGGUGGAGGUAGUAAAUGGUAAAUGAUCAGACUUUCAUUCAUAGGGAAGAUAGAGAGCAGGAAAUGCCUGGAGUCAAAGAAAGAAAGUGGUCACUCCAGGAGAAAACGCUGAAAGAACAAGUAAACUUUACCAACCUUGAAUUUUGCUCAAGGUCAUGAGGAUUUUUCCUUCCACCAUUGUGGCUCUUGGGCAUAUGAGGGGUUCCUGGGAAAGCUUGGUGAUCAGCAGUAGGACAUUGACAGCCCUACUUUGCAUAAUUAAUGAAUAGUCUCUGAAUUCCCCCCCAAAACAAAACAAAACAAAACAAACAAACAAAACCCUGUGGUUGAACUCAUUGUAAAGUAGUUUUUGUCCUAGAGGACUUCUUCACUUGUAUAUGAUGAUUCUACCUCAGGAAAGCUUGUGUGUGCCCUCAUUGAAAUGAAAACAUUUGGAAAGACCAAUCUCAGGGCUCUCCAAGAUCAGUAAGCAUUUAUUAAUCACUUCCUCUCUGCCAAGCAAUGGGCUAGGCAUUAGGGAUAUACAGAAAUGGGUAAAAUAUCAGAGCUAAGUAACAGCCUAGCCUGAUUGUGGAGACAACAUGGAAGCCAUCAGGUCCAUACAAGAUAGAGACAGAGUUGUUGAAGGCCAUUCCUCUCCCUCCUUCACCCCACAUGGCUGAUCGCUUUCAAGUCUUGUCCUUUCUGCUUCCAAAGUACCUCUCCCACCUAGCCCCUUCUCUCCUCUGAGUUCCAUUUAUCCUCUGAAUUUCCUCAUUUUUUUUUUGCUUGGACCAUUACUACUCUAAGAAUCUCAUGAUUGGUCCUCAUGACCUUCUCAUCCAUCUUCCACAUGGUGGCCAAUGAGAUCUUCCUUUAGGAUAGGUCCAUGUCAUCCAGCACCUGCUUGGUCAAGCUCAGAGACUCCCUAUUCCUCUGGGAUCAAAAAUAAAUACAAGUUCCUCCUUGGGGGAUUUAACUCCAGCCUACCUCUCCAGGCCCUUCAUCAUGAUCAUCAUGAUCAUCAUGAUCAUCAUUAUCAUCAUCAGUCAUCAUGGCUGGCACUGAUAAGGUUUAUAAAGCAUGUGUUAGCUCAUCAUUUCCUUCAUGAACUCUGUAGAGCACAUUACCUCAUAUUGUCUGUCAUAAGCUCAAUGGUCUGACUGUAGCUGUCUCCCUUUCUAGCACCAUGCCUGGCACAUACCAGGUGCUUCCUAAAUGCUGACUGAUUCAUUGCUCCGAGUGCCUGUUCUUUCUUCCUUCUGCUCAUCAGGUAUUUGGUCACAGGAAGCCCUCCAUUUAGGGGAUGGGCUGCAGAUGACAUUCAUCUUGGCUUAGAGAAGCUUCAGUUCCACUUUAGGAAUCUGGGAAGACCUAAAUUGAACUGAGUGGGAGGUUUCUGGUUUACCAGUUUCUGGAGGAGGAAGAGAAGGGUUUCCCCACACCCACAUUUUCCCUAGAGGCAUCUCCCUCAUCGUGGGGGUCGAGCAGAUGAUGAACUCUUAAUUGGUGUUCCCAGAGUGAAAUUCAAGAAGAUAGAUUGGGGAGAGGAGAGGGCACAAGACAGGAUUCAGUAUCUUUGGAGCUGGAAGGACAAACCCAAAGAAAGAAGUAGGAAGGAGAGAGAUAAAUGGCCUAAUUAGCCUCAGGACAGCUUUUCAGGGAAUUGGUUUAAGAAUGCUCUAGCUCUUCUGGAAGAAAAGUUAAAGAUAACUUUAAGAAGAUGGAGUUACAGGCUUAUUUCUGCAAUGAUGAGUGCCAUUCUACAGUGUAUCCUCUUCCACUCCAAAACUUGGCAGUGACUCCUUCCCCAGGCCCCUGGUAUCUACUGUGUAAAUAUUUAAAUUUGUUCCUCCUGUCUCUCACAGCCAACCUGUAAGCUCCCUGAGGGCAAGGACUGUUAAUGCAGUUUUUAUAUUUGCAACACUUAAACAUAAUGUUCUUCACACAGUAUACAUUUAAGAAAGGAUUGUGGAAUUGAUUAAUACAAAGACGAUAGGACAGUGAAGAGACUUCAGUUAUCCAGACAGCUUCUUGAAUAAUUUUUCCUACUCUCUUCCUGUCUCUUUCCCUCCUUUCUCUUUCUGUUCUCCCUUACCUCUAUCCCUCCUUUCUCUUUCCCAUCUUAUUUUUCUCCCUUUCUAUUUCUUCCUCCCUCUUGCUCACACUCCUUCCCUUCCUUUCCCCUUGUUUCUCCCUCUUUCUCCAUUUCUUGAUCUCCCACUCUUUCUCUUCCUCCUUCUCAUCUUUUGUCCCUAUCCUUCCUCUUUGUUUCUCCCUGCUCAUCAAAGCAAAAUGACUGAUAAUUAUCGACUUUCUUAAAGGAUAUAUUAAAUUCAUUCAUCACAGACAAAAGAACCACCAAGAGCAAAAUUCUUUUCUGGGUGUAAUUGUCACCAAUGGGGGAAAGUAGUUUAGGAUAUGCUGGGAGACAUGAGAUCCACAAACACUUUAUUUUAUAAUUUGUGACAGAGGAGAAGAAACCCUAACAUAGUAAGACAAGCACCCUAGAUUUGGGGAGAGCAUAUUCAAAGAGUUGACAGAGCAGAUCCUAUGGACUAAGAUUUUAUCAAAGAAGUCAGCCCAGGAGGCCACAGGAAGUGUCUUAGAAUGAAAUUUUGAUAAUACGAAGAGAAAUAGCUUCUGAGAGAAGAAAGGGAGAUUCUGAACAGACAGAAGUGGCCACCUGAAGAAUACAGCAAGUAAUUAUUUGGGGGAUUUUUAGAAGAUACUGAGAGAAGAAGUAGUGCUGCAUAGUGGAUAGAAAUUACCUUAGAACCUGUGUAAUCUGGGUUCAAGACCACCUCAGAAACUGAACUAAAAGUAAGGCAAUUCUAACCCAUGCAGCAACUAACUCAUUCUUUAUUACUUAUGCAAUUUACCUGACUUUUCAGGAACUAAAUUUCCUCAUGUGUAAAUGGAGGGGAUUAGAUCUGGUCCAUAAGUACAUAUCUCUUUGAUAAUCAGGGGAAUGAGCUGGGCUCAGAAUUGGACAGGAAGAAAAGGACAGGUAGGAUUCUAUUUGGAAAAUUGUGCAGUACAACCAAUAAUAUGAUUCCAGAUGGUUCCUUGCAGCAUAACUUGUUGAUAUCAAUAUUCUCCUGGCAAUACUGGAGGUCUAUGAGUCAUGGAACACCAUGAUCUCAGUAGUUUCAUUAUCAAGGGUGACCUUAUGGAAAGACGCAUUGUGGUGUAGGCAAUGACAACAUUGCCCAGUAUGAAUUUAUUCAUGAAUAUGUGACAUAAAAUAUUGUAUUCAAGAACGUUGCGAUUGGCAAAGGAGGUGGGCAGAUAGUAUCCUUACUGUGUACCAAAUACUGGGCUAAGCACUAGGAAUACAAAAAUAAGCAAACCAAACAUCCCUUGUCUUCAAGAAACUUACAUUCUAUGGAGGGAGAUAACAUAAAAAGGGUAACUGGGACAGGGGUAGUGGGAUAUAGUUUGAAGAUGAUUGGGAAUUGGAUUAAGCACCUAGAUCCAGGCAAUAUCAGCCUAAUGCUCCCUUCUGUAAGUCUAGAGAGGUGGAUGCAUAAUGAGCCCAAUGGUGCCACUGUGUAUGCCACCUGUUGUGGAUUUGGAAGGAAGUAGAAUGGAGGCCUGGUUCUGGGCAAGAUCAAAUUAAACCUUAUCUAUCAGAGUCUGGUGUCUCAGCAGAAGGGUCCAAGUUUCCCGUACUGGGAUGAGGAGAAGGAGAAUGGCCAGAGUGUGGGCGACAUGUCAUGGCAGCCUGAAUGAAGUCAUGGGUCUUGUUCAAAAAGCCAAACUCAAAUAGUUAUAUGGUAUCAAGUCAAGAAUCUGGACAAGUUGCUUCAAUAAGAUCUACUUCUUGGCCUCAGGAAUUCAUCCUUAUGGGAAAGGAUAGAGACAUCUGGAGAAACAACACCAGAAUCUAGGCCCUUGUCUUUCUCUUACCCCCCACGUCUAUCCACCCCCAACUCCUCAACCUUUCACCUGAGAGUUUCUAGUUUGAAGAUCUGAAAUGAUUCUUCUAUUGUUUUUCCUUUUGUGGCACAAAACCACAAAAUUAUUAACAUAAUGGUAGCUAGGUACAGGUGCCAAGCUAUUUUUAAACAUUCAAAUCAGCCAACGCCUACUCCCCCCAAAUUAUGAGCUUUCAUUUUACUUAAAGGAAAAAAAUGCCCAUGUCAUGUUAUAUUUUCUUUACAAGACAUUUUUCUUUGGAGUCUUUAGCCAUGGACGUGUCAGCCAUCUGGAAUUCUGUACUUGGUUAAGUGAUGCCACCCAAAGUAUCUGGACUCAGCCUAUGACCUCAUCUCCUGAGCAGAGACUUGAUUCUGGCUUCUGUUGCCAUAGCAAUAGAAGUUAGGACAUCCAAUCUGAAAGGCCUUCAUCCUACCUGCCUUCUAAUCUCGUUUGCUUAUUCUGCCUAGGUAUGGAGGAAGUUAGAUUUUACUAUUGAGCUCCCAGCAUCCAGUAUAAGACCUUAUAUAUAUAGUGGACACCCAAUAAUCAUUUGUUGAAUUUAGCUCAUUAGAAUUACUAGGAUGAUGAGAAUAACAGUAACAAUAUAAUUUACUUUGUACUUUAAAGUUUGCAAAGUGCGUUACAAAUUUUAUCUUAUUUCAAUCUUGCAACAACCCUGGAAGUAGGUGUUAUUAUUUUUACCAUUUUAUACAUGGGGAAACAAUGACUUGCCCACAGUUACAUAAUUAGUAAAUAGUUGAAACUGGAUUUGAAUUCUGGUCUUCUUGACUUCAAAUCUAGCACUCUGUUCACUGUGCCACAGACAGUUACUGGAUCUUCCAUCUGUGUUUAUUCAUGUAAUAAGUAAUAACUGACCAUUAUGUUCCUUUCCUUUGCUGUAGACAUCGGUACCUAACUUGUCAUAGAAUUUCUGUUUUCCUUCAAAACUCAUCUCAAGCAGCAUAUUACCCAUUGAGCCUUUCCUGAUCUCUGCAACUGCUAUUGUCUCCCUCCCAAUAUUACCUUGUAUUCCUUUCUAUUUAUUUGUAUUUAUUUUCCUCAUAGUUAUUCUCUUUAUUUAAUACAUUUUAUUUAUUUUUAUUUAAUUAUUUAUAAUUAUAUAUUUAUAUAUGUAUAUAUAUUUAUAAUUAAUUAUAUUUAAUACAUUUUAUUUCAUUUAUUUAAGAAAUAAAUAAGUGUUCUUUAUUCUCUGCCUCUUUAUUUAUUCCCUUCAUCUUUAUUAUGCAUUUAACGUUCUUUUUUGCCAUCGGAAUUUAGUCUUCAGUGUAGGGAUUGUUGUAUCCCCAGUGCUGACGUAUGGGUGGCAUUUAAUAAUGCUCACUGAUUGAGCAUAGAGGAACAUCCUUUGAAUUUACUUAUUCCCUUUUCUCCCAGGCCAUCACCAGUCACUGUGACCUUCUUCUUGCCACUGGACUUUGAUGACUCUGGAAGAGAGAGUGAGGCUGAGAACUUUAUGUAACUCAGCCUCACAUAGACCCAGCUUCUGUGCCUGUCAAGACAUCACCUCAUGGUGUCUUCAGUCCUCUUUGGAAAGGGAGGACAAACAGAAUUCUUUCUUCUAGACUAUUAAAGUUGUGAAAUAAUCAAUAGCAAUUCAUUAAAGACCUGGUAUGUGCCAGGCAUCGUGCUCAGCACUGGGGAUACUGAUAGUCUCUCUCCUCAAGGAACUUCUACCCUAUUGGGGAAGACCAUGCACACAACAUAUAAAUGUUUCUAUGGAUAUGUAUCAUAGAUAGCAUAUAUACGUACAUAAGGUAUCUCCCCCAUAUAUAUAUAUGUGUUUAGGUGGAUAUAUACAUAUAAGUAAGUAUAUAUAUACAUAUGUGCAAUGUAUAUGCAACUAAUAUUUUAAUGCAUGUCAUAAAAUACAUGAGAUACCAAGGGAAAUCAAUUAAGUUGAAUUACUAUUGCAUACUUAUCAAAAUAUGUAUUCUUUAAGAGCUAAGUUCACUGGCCCUUGGGUAAAGAAAUACAUUAGAGGGACAAGGUGUGAUUAACUGUAGAAAGCAUAGAUCUCCUGUGUCACUGGGGACAAGACUGGGCUUUACUGUACUCCUCUAUAAAAUGAAAGAGUUGGACUUCCUCAUAGUUCCCUUUCAGCUCCAAAUCUAUGCCUGAGAUCCCAGGAUUUAGAACUGAAUUGAACCUCAGAGGUCCUGUAGUCUAACCCCCAUUUUACAGAUGAGAGAGUUGCCAUCUGAUUUUUUCAUUUUCCACAAAGUCUGACACUUUGAAGAGUUCUUUUUUUUUUUUUCAUGUUGGGAGUUGACUGGAGUUUCUAUCAUUGAGUGAAAUCUUAAGCAUGCUUUGUUUCUUGUCUUAGCUAGGGGAUCAGAGGAGGUUGUGAACAAGGGUAGUGGAGAAUGUGGUUAGCCUGGUGAAGUUACAGACAAGAGGAAGAUUGUAGUUACCCAAUCUGCCAGAGAGGGACCAGAGGUAUGAGAAUAACUUGAAAAGUCUAUGAAGUAUGCAGGUAAAAUUUUACCAUGUUGGUAAUAAUAUUGGAGAGAGGAGAGAAGAUAGAGUGGUAGGCGUCAGGAAUUAAGGAACAACGGGAGCAGACAGAAGGCAUUACUCUUUAGAAUUAAGGGAGCAAUAUGGGAAGUAGGAGUAGGUAAGAGAAAUUAGGAACACAAGGGGAAAAUGUUGCCAAGGACUUUAGCAUGACCUUUAUUUUAUUUUAUAUUUAUUCAUUUUUUUUUGCCCAAUACUACUGGUGUGUGUGAGUGUGUGUGUGUGUGUGUGUGUGUGUGUGUGUGUGUGUGUGUGUGUGUGUAUGCAUGGAUACUUUGGGGACUUCCAUUUUGAAGAAAAGUACUUUCAAUGAGAUCGAAGCUGUUAUGGAAGGAAUGACAAGGCUGUGGUUGCUCAUUAGGGCCAAUCACAGCCUCCUUGGGGAGGUGGGGGGAGACAGGAAGAAGACAUCUAUGUUUGCCAAGUCAUAAACGGAAGUGUAAUGUGAUGAUUCAGACUAUUAAAUUUAAUAUGAGAUAUAAGGAAGCAUGAGGCUUAAGCUGGUAGCCACUAAAUUUGUUCAAAGGAAAAAAAUAAAUAACUCACAGAAGUAUGCAAGGCUGGGCUCUGGCUGAAGUCCUAGAAGUUAUUCAUGCUGUUAGACAGGGUGAACACACUCAAGAAACGUGAGCCACAUCGAUGGGGAAAUAGAUAAAGAAAAUGUGGCACAUGAAUGUAAUGGGAUAUUGCUGAUCAACAGGAAGGAUUCAGAGAAAAAUUGGAAGAGUUGGAUGAACAGAUGCAAAGUGAAACCAAUAGAAUGAGGAAAACAAGAUGCACAAUGAAAAAAUUAAAUACUUUGUAAUCGUAAUGACUAAGAUUGGCCUCAGAAUUUACUUUGCUCCCUUGAAUGUGGAGGUAGGUACUAUGUGUACACAAUUAGACUUGGUCAAAAUGUUAAUUAAUUGUGCUGACCCGCUUUCUCUAUCACUCUUUUUAAUCUUUUGGCAAGAGUCAGCUUCUUAAGGAGAAAGAGGUUUAGAAAAAAAAUAUAUGAAAAAAAGAUAAAAAAGAAAUCCAAUUGUCUCGCAGUAGACUUUUGAACCAUUUAUCAAAAUACUCAUUUUUAAUAAGUCGACCAAGUGAUUAAUGCUAUAGAUCCUCCCUUUAGAGUCAUUGUCCUUAUUGAAAUCUAGCCUUUUUUUCUGAGAAACAGAGAAAAUUCCUGUCAUUUCAGUUCCACAAAUCAUAUUGUUUAUUUAGAUUGUACUUUUAAAAACCAUUUUUAACAUUAAAAUAACUCACUAAUUGAGCCAUGCAUAUUUCAAGAUAUUUAUAGAACAAAGGUUGACAAUGAAGCUCAGAUGGAAUCAUCUGCUCAAUAUGUUUUAUAAAACUUCAUAUAUAUGUGUAUAUAUCUAUAUAUCUCUCUCUAUAUAUGAAUGUCAAUUACUAUCAAAGUUGUCGGUAUGUUGAGGCUGAGGCAAAAUUCCUGUUCUUAAACUAAUUGUGGCACAUUGGAAAGAGUGCUGGAUUGCUAUAGCUUUUGUUGUAGGAAAUGUAUUGGAUAGCAGAUGGUUUUCUGGGAAUAUGGUUUUACCUGUAUGGGUCCCUCCUUCAACUUUCAGCCUCUUUCCUGAUUCUGGAUUUAAUGAAGCAGGAUUUAGUCCCUUAUGUAUGUAGCAAGAGUAUAAGGAAUAAUGAUUUAUUUAACUCCUAUUGUGUGUCAACUGUGGCAAGUAUUUUGCAAAUGUUAUUUCAGUUCAUCUUUGCAACAAUCCUGCAAUGUAGAUACUGUUAUCAUCCCCACUUUACAGUUGAGGAAACUGAGGAAGAUUAAAGUUAAAUGCUCAGGGUUACACAAGUAUGAAAAGUCAAAUUUGAACUCAGGACUUCCUGGCUUUAGGCAUCAUCUACCUUUAGUUCUUUUUUUAAAACCCUUACCUUCUGCCUUAGAAAGAACAUUGUGUAUUGGUUCCAAGACAGAAGAGCAAUAAGGACUAGGCAGUGGGGGUUAAAUGACUUGCCCAGAGUCACAUAGCUAGGAAGCAUCUGAGGUCAAAUUUGAACCUAGUACCUACCAUCUCUGGGUCUGACUCUCAAUCCAAUGAGCCACCUAGUUGUCCCUGUUCUGGUCCUUCCCAACUCUAGCUUUCUUAUCCCAGAAUUCCUUUAGUUGAUUUCCCACCUAACGGUGGAGAAGCUCAAUUAAUUGGUCAUAAUUUACUAAGCACCUUGGAUGUGCCAAACACUUGAUUAGGACUUAGGAUAGAAAACAAAAAUGAAACAACCCCUUACCCUAAGGACUUUACAGUCUUAGGAAAAUAAUAUGCUCAUUAAAAAAUCUAUAUUUUAAAUAGAAGGCAUUUUUGGUAGUAGUAUUGGUGGUGGCAGGCAAUGCAGAUAGGUAGGGAUGGUGAAGAAUCAGGAGAGUCUUCCCAUAGGAGAUGACCAAGAUAAGGUCUACAUGGGGCUGAGAGUUCCAAAACAGAAAGUGAAGGAAGUACGAGCCUCUGAAAAUUCCUUCCAGCUCUUUAUUUGGGACUAAGACCUAAACUAGUUCUGGCUCUCAGGGUUCCCUCCAGCAAAGAGGUCAGAGGGGAUAAAGAGUAUCCAUGCCAACUUUCCAUCAGCAGAUGUCAAGUGAAAAUUUUGGACUUUCGAAACACCACUUAACAUCAUUAGAAACAAAAGCUUCCUGUUUCAGGAAGAGAUGAAACAAACUUAGUCAUGAAACUUGAUUGGAGGUAGCCAAGUAACAAGAGCAAUAACAAAAAUAGUGGUGGGUGGACAGAGAAUAGACCUUGGAACCAGGUCAUGCUUCUGAUACAUCUUCUUGUGUAACCCAGGCUCAGGCCCUCCCCAAGCACUAUUCAGUGCUUAGGCAUCUCUCAAAAACUCAGCUGCAGAGAAAGUGCUGACCCACAUUGGUAGAGGGAAUUUCCUCACCUGGGAGUUCCCUAUACCAGUGAAAUCACAGGCUACUUCCAAUCUUCAUGAUUUUCUUUGGUGCUCCCCUAGAGUUACCAAAUAAUGUGUCAGGGAUUCCCAGCUUUCCCUCUGCAUUUGUAAGUAACCCAUAAGUUCUUCUAACAAAGAAAGAAAAGAGAGGAUUUGAUCCAUCCAACCUCGAAUGCAUUUUCUCUGUUCUACCCAGAUGAAUGUGUCCUUUUUUCUGUUACUGCCCCUGAGUAGCUUUUUUUUUGGUGCCAUUGUUUAGUGCCCAACAUCUCUCCUCAUCUUCCCCUUUCCUGCUUUCCUCCUAAUCAUCUCCACCAUAUUCCUUGUUCAAGAUGAAUCAUAGGCAUGGGGUUCCUCCAUUUUUCUCCUACAGCUUUUUGUCUUUGUUCCUUGAAAUAAUGGGCUUGUCUAGUUCAACACAAGCUGUACCUGAAGGAAUAACAGCUUAUUCUGCCAUCAUUUUUCUUUAAAUACCCUUUGUCAGGUUGGAUCCGUGAAGCUGUAAAGGUUAUUCCACUAAGUAGCAUGAGUCAUCCUUUUUGUUUCUAACCUUUGGAUAAACACUCUCUACAGCUUCAUCUACUAGAUCUGGAGGGAUUAAAGUUUUAGGGGUUUGAGUUUUUUUUAGUAUUUCUGAGAUUUUUGUGAGACUUCUUAGUAAAGUGCAGUGUGAAAUACGUGGGAGAGUGUGGGUCUGGGUGAAACAGGACUUGGGUUUGAAUCCCUGAUCUGUGUGACCAUGAGUAUACAAGUUCACUCUCCUGAGCCUCAGUUUCCACAUCUGUAAACUGAGAGGAUUGGAACCAAUGGCCUCAGAGGUCUGUUCCAGCUCAGAAGGCAUGGUCCUAUAAGGAAAUAUGAAAAUAGAAUCUUCUAAAAAAUUCAGCCAACUUCUAAACCUUUGAGUGUGAAUUUUACUUCUUGCUGGGAAAUAUUGAGCUUUGAAUACAGCUCCUACAUACUAACCACCUGGAUGAUUUCCUUUUGUGGGCAUAAACCUGUUCUUCUUGGGGGCCUCAGAUGAGCAUAUUCCCUUUCCCCUCCUCCCAAAUGAAGACUAGAGAUUUUUUCUUACAUUUAUUCUCCUCUGGGGGUAACUGCCAUUGGUUUCUUACAGAAAUGUCAAGGAUGUGUUUUUAGGUUCACAAAAGCCACAUGUCUCAGGCACAGCCUAUGAAGGGGAGCCUGGUGGAAUGAUUUACAUUGCACAAAAAUACUCCAGUUCAACAAUUUUCAAUGGAUGAAAUUCAUUCUGAUGGGGUUUUAUUGUUGAUGUUGUUGUGGUAAGAAUGAGGGGUAAGAAUGAGGGGUUUCUUCAUUAGUUGUCCAUGAGUGAUUCUAGAUUGGGGUUGUUCAUCCUUUUUCUAACCCAUUGCCAUCAUCAUUUUAAUAAUUUCUCAUGUAAAAAUGGACUAAAGCAUUUUUUACUUUUGGAUGGAGGGGGGGGGGUAGGGGAUGGACUGAAUUGGCCCAGACUGGAAAUGGUAUUCAAGGACCCAGUGUCCUCUGUUGGGAUAAUGGUCUAGUCACAAUUGACAUUCUCUUCUUUCCUUUGAAUCGACCUGGCAUUUCAUUGGCUUUGACGCCUGUGGCUUUCCUCUCAGCUCUCCACUGAGCAACGGAGACCUGUUUCCUUUAGAAGUUACCACUAAUUUGAGAGCCAGCAGUGUACAAAGGUGACUUCUCUUGUUCUUUUGUUGGCCUUCCGUGGGAGCUCUCCAAGGUGACUUAGGCUUCCUGGGCUGGUCUUUCAGCUGCUGUGUGUUCAGGGCGGUUAUGUGGGCUUUUGUAUGAUUGCUUUCCAUUCACGCUGAUAUUGGUCAUUUCUUUCUGUGUCCUUUCUUUGUCUUCACUCUUUCUCUUACCUUUUGGUCCAUUCAUUCACUCAACAAAUGUUUAUUAAGCUUGGCUUGCUAAAAGCACUGUGCUGAGGGCUGGGAGGAGAUUACAGAGAUAAUAAUUAUAUGCUAGGCACUGUGAUAAGAGCUUUACAAUUAUUAUUUCAUUCAAUCCUCACAACCACCUUGGGAAGAAUUAUCUUAUUUUAACAAUGAGGAAACUGAGGCGAAUAGAGGUUUAAUGACUUGUCCAUGAUAACACAACUAGUGUCUAAGUCUGGAUUUGAACUCAAGUCUUUUUAAAUUUUAAAUUUGUUUAAAUAAUUAAUUUAGAAUAUUUUUCCAUGGUUACAUGAUUCAUGUUCUUUCCCUCCACUCCUCCCUCCCCCCUCCCAUAGCCAAUGAGCAAUUUCAUUGGGUUUUAUGUGUAUCAUUGUUCAAAGCCUAUUCCCAUAUUAUUAAUAUUUGCAGUAGAGUGAUCGUUUAGGAUCUACAUCCUGAAUCAUAUCCCCAUUGAACCAUGUGACCAAGCGGUUGUUUUUCUUCUGUCUUUCUGCUCCCACCAUUCUUUCUCUGGCUGUGGAGAGCGUUCUUUCUUGUAAGUCCCUCAGAAUUGUCCUGGGACAUUGCAUUGCUGCUAUUAGAGAAGUCCAUUACAUUUGAUUGUACCACAAUGUAUCAGUCUCUGUGUACAAGUCCACUGACUCCGCUUCUUGAGUCCACACUCUAUCCACGGUGCCACCUGACUACCUUCUAUUAGAUAAGGCAUAGCAUUGUUUGACCUCAAAACCUGAAGUCUUUUAAGGGUUUAGUACACAUGCACACUACACCUCAAUGUGCUUACUAUAUGAUAAGUCUAUUAGAGAGAUACAAAUUCGUCAUGGAAACAAAGGGACAUAGACCCAGGAGGGAAGAUUGUUAAUUAAAAGGUUAUUCAGUGUUUUUAAUUAAUGCCUAAAUUUUUAAAUUAAUGAUUAAAACAUUUUGCACAGUGCCUGACACAGAAAAGGCACUAAAUAAGCAUUGAUGAUAAUAAUGAGGAUGAUUAUAAAAAUAAUAAUAGUUAGCAUUUAUAUGGUGGAUACAUGACCCAGACAUUACCUGAGGCACAUUACAAAUAUUUCAUCUGAUUCUUACAGCAACUAUUAGAUAUAGAUGCUAUUAUUAUCCCUAUUUUAUAGUUGAGGAAACUGAGGCAAAUAGAGGUUUAAGGUUAAGUAACUUGUCCAAAGUCCAUUACAGGUGUCUGAAGUAAGAUUUAAACUCAAGUCUUCCUGAUUCCAACCCAACCAUUCUAUCCAUUUCAGCACCAGCUGAAACAAACCACUUCAUCCCUCUGGAUCUCAGUUUCUUCAUCUAUAAAAUGAAUGGGUUGGACUAUGAUCUUUUCACCACUCUUCCAAUCUUCCACUGUGAAACUUUCCUAAAAAUUUCCUGUGAAAAAUUUCACUUUGACUUUGAGAAGUAUCUUGAUUAAAAGACUUCCAUUUUCCUAAUAUAUUUGGAACUUAAUUAGAUUGGAAUAUUUCAAAGAAUAACUGUGGUAUCAUAAAUUGGUUAUGAUAAAAAAUAUCUUCAAUGUUUCAUCCAGAAUAUAAUUUUUAAGUUUCUUAGAUGAUCCCAUCUUCUAGGCUUCUUUAAAAAAAGUAUUUUACAUUUGGCAUCUGGAUAUUGCCAGGAAAUAACCACUUUGGCAUAUCAAAGGGAAAAGCACAUUUCCCCCUGAAUUUCAGUCAAAGUGGCAUUAACAUCUCUCCUUUUUACCAUAGUAUCUGCUCUCCUCUUUACCAUAAUAUGGAAACGUGUUCUUGUUAAGGGCAAUUUUGCCUUGUAGUUCCAUCAAAAGCACUUUCUUAAGUGCUCACUCUUGUAUUUUGCAAAUUUUUAGUGGUUUCCAGGAAGAUGGAGCUAAACAAAUUCUCCUUUCCUUCGUACAUCUCCUCCCCUCAUAGAUCUUACAAUCACUAUUUCUCAGGGCAGUGGAGUCCAUUUCUAAAGUGAGUCGACUCUCAACCACUCCAUCAGCACUGAAAUUCUGGACUGCUCAUUAGACUAAUCCAGUUUUGGUUGCUUCCAGCAGUUAUGGUGCCAGCCUCAUUUUAGGAGUCGUCGCAGAUCAUCAUGCACAAGUGAACAUGGUGGAGAUGAGAACCAUUGAGUUGUUUCAGAUUUUGCUUAAGGCACUAAUGAAAUGCUUAGAAAAGAGAAAUCCUUGAGAAUAUUAUGUGAUAGAUGAAUGUACUGGAUCAUGGAAAGCCCUCAGCAAGGCAUAAAAAGAUGUAUCUGAACUGAUAGUAAAUGAAGCAGGAAUAAGAAAGCAAGAUGGCCUGAAAUAUCAGUAUUCCAUAAUUAUAAAGACCACAUGAUUGUACAUUGAGAACUAGAUGGGACCUUAGAGGCCAACCCCAUCAUUUUACAAAAGAAGAAAGCAAACCCAGAAGCACUUGUGUGGCUGAUGUAGAUUCACAGCUAGUUUUUAUCUGAGGUGGAAAGUCAGGGGGUGCAAUGGAUGGAAUUCUGGUCCUUCAGUCAAGAGGACCUGAGUUUAAAUCCAGCAUCAGACACUUACUAGCUGUGUGACCCUGGGCAAGUCACUUAGUUCUAUUUACCUCAGUUUCCUUGUUUGUAAAAUAAGCUGGAAAAGGAAAUGACAAACUGCUCCAGUAUCUUUGCCAAGAAAACCCCCAAGUGAGGUCAUGAAGAGUCAGACAUGACUGAAACAACCAAACAACAGUAACAUGUAUUUAAGGUGGGAUUCAAACCCACGUCUUCCUGACUGCAAUCCCAUUGCUUAAGCUCACUUACUGUGAACUUAAUGGAGAAAAUUCUCCUUUUUCCCUUCAUUUGUGAGCUAGGGGAAUAGGGAUACAGAAUAAGAAUAUGUUAUGGAUUGAUAUGUUGGUUAGUUUUGAUGAACUCCCUCUUCCUCUAUUAAACAUUAUUUCAGGGGAAGAUAUUAGGUAGAGAAGAGGGAAGAAUACAUUUGGAAAUGAAGGUGAAAGGAAAAUAAAAGAUGUCAAUCAAAAUACAAUUUAAAAUUUUUUGAAAAUUGGUUUUUACCAAAAUAGUUUUUUGAUAUAUUUUUUCUAAAAAAGAAACAUAACUUUUUAUCCUAAAAUAUUUAACAUUUCAAUAGAUUGUCAAACCUGAUCUAAGAUUAUAGAAUGAAUGUGUAGCUGGUGUGAAAACAGGGAAAAAUUAAAUGAAAAAAUCCAAGCCAAAAUGUGUGCCCCUAUCGAGCUCAGCUAGGCAGGAAACAGAGCGCUUAUCUACUAACAGUAACCAUAGCAACUGUGUGAUGAUUAUUUUCAGCACAGAAUUAUAUAAAACUGAGAGAGAGUGGAGACCAGCCCUGUCUGCACUUACACCACGUGUUUUUGUCUGAUAUGGAGUAUGGUGAAUGGAUAGGGGCCUCCCGCAGAGGCAAUUUGCUUUUUCAAAAGCCCUAGUCAAGCUGAGUAUCUUUCGAUUUCAUGAUGGGUAAAUGUUACUGUAUGGAAGGAUUAGAGCAUCUUGAACCUAGAGGGCCAGAAGAGGCUGCAAAGGUCAUUUAGAGCAACACCCCCAUCUUAGAGAUGAGGAAACUGAAGUGUAGAGAAUUGGGUGAUGUUACAUGGGUAGAAAGCAUCAGGGUGGGAUUUGAAUGAGAGUCCUCUGACAUCAAGGCAUCUCCCCUUUACUGCCUAACAUGGGAUUCAAUGUUUUAAAAAUGAGUCAAUGUGGCCACACUGUUUUGGAGAUCCCAUUUGAGUUCUGUCUGAACCCUGCAAGUACAUUUUGGUAUAAACCUGAGCAUUGGCAAUCUGAGCAAAAGCCAACACAUUUUUUUGCUCCUUACCAAACAAUUAUUUCUUCUGUGGAUUCUAUUUAAGGGGGAUAAUUAUGCAGAGAAUAAUGUUUUGUUCUUAGAUCCCACUCACCACUAUUUGACUUUAGGCAAGUCAUAUCCCUGGGCCUCAGUUUAUUCUUCUGUAAAAUGGGACUUGGGGGUAGAGGAUUCUAAGAUCUGUUCCAGCUGUUCCUCCUGAGGAUUGCCCAUUAAAGUAGAACCAGCCAGAGCUCAUCUCUUCCUUCUUCAUUGAGAAGAGAGAGGUAGUUGUGUCUUGGCCAGAUAAUAGUGAUUCAAACCAGAAUCUACAUUUACAAGCCCUGAGACCAUUUUGUCCUUUUUUCUGUUUCUUCUUCAUUUAUUUAUAUAAGUUGAACAGUCUGCUGCAUAUUUUUAAUUUCAUCAGACCUGCUGCCUCUGUCACAGCUUGCCCCCACCAAAUCUCUUCUUGAAGAAAGCAAAAAACAAAGCAAAAGAAAUCAUCAUUAGCCUUCUCUUCUCUCUCUUACUUUGUCCUUUUCCUUUGAGAAUAGCAGCAUGUCUCUGUGUCUCUGCCUCUGUCUAUCUCUCUCUCUUUCUCUCUUUCUCUGUCUCUCUCCCUCCCUCCUAGACUCCCCUAAAGCUUCUUGCCAGUCCAGCCUUUGAGUGUUUGAGUAUGUGAGUGUAUGUGCAACACAGAAUAUUAAAGGUAUAAAGAUCUUAGAGUAUUAAGGAUAUAAGAGACAGUAGAAAACAUCUUCUUUAAUUUUAUAGAUAAGGAAACAGAGGUCCAGGAUCAAUAAUGCAUACAUAGACUUGAAACUGGAGAGGACCAUCUAAGCCUGGCCCUGUUCUUUUAGAAAUGAGGAAAUAGGGACCAGGUAAGUCAAGUUCACUGCCCAAGUUCAUACAGGUAGUAAGUGUCAGGGAUGAAAUUUGAACCCAAGUGCCCAGGCUCCAGAAUUAGUACUCUAUCUACAUUACCAGGCUAAAGGCUAGAGAGAAAGAAGAUGAUUUCUUGGACAAGUUUCUAGAAGAGGUGAAAGGGGAUAGAGUCAAGGUCAAAGGUGGAAGGCUUGACUUUGGCAAGGAGGAGGGUCAUUCUAGCCUGAGAACAGAAAGAAGAAAGGACAAAGGAAGACAUAAGGAGAUAGUGGCAUGUGAACGGAAGAUUGAGGGAAGUUGGAUUUAUUGCUUUUUAUCAUUUUAGGAAGAUAGGCAAAAAGAUAGGAUAAGGUUGGUGUUGGAAACUCAAGGAAGGAGGAGAAAGUUGACAAGAUUCAUGAUGAUUAAGAUAUUCAGCUGAGGUGACCUUGAUUUGGGUUGGGUAGUCAUUGACUUGGUCCAGUCAUAUUCUACCAGUUGGGAGCAAGAGACGAAAAGGCAGAAGAUGGGGGCUGUCCAGGGCAGAGUCAGCAGGAUAGGACUAGACAGUGAAAAGGAUGAGAGUCAAUGUGAUAUGAGGUGGGUCAUUGAAAUAGUGGACUAUUCAGUCAAGACUAUGAAGAAUGAAAAGAGAAUCAAGAAAUUAAGGGAUGAUGCCUUGAGAGAACAGGGAGUGAAAGAAUUAGCAAAGUUCAUGAUGAGGAUAAAGAACAGAUUUAAGAAGAGCAAAAGCUGAAGGAUAGGAGGACAGAGAGCUUAUAAAAUAAGUCAGUCCCAGGUAACUUUAAUUAGAAAUAAUGAACAUUUAUAAGGUUUGUAAAGUGCUUUCCAGAUAGGAUCUCAGUGAUUUCCUCUGCAUCAUCCACAUUUUAGGCACUUGGGGAAUCCACUGGCAAUUUGCUCCUCACCAUCUGUUCUACUAAGCUAGUGUUUUUUUUUUAAUCCUUACCCUCUGUCAGAGAAUCCACUGAAUCAAUGACACCUUAGUUCAAAUUCAGUCUCAGGCACUUACUAGCUCUGUGACUGGGAAAGUCACUUAACCUCUGCCUGCCUUAGUUUCUUCAUCUUUAAAAAAUGAAGAUGAUGAUAAUACCUAUUCCUAGAGUUUUAUGAGGAUUAAAUGAUGUAAUAUUUGUAAAGUACUCUGGUAAACCUGCUAUAUAAAUGCUCUCUAUUUAUUAUUAGAAUGGCCUUUUAAUCCAAAACUGCUACUUCCUGGUCCAUUGAAAAUCUGAAGUUCCAGAAUUCUGUCCCAACAGUUUUGCAGAGCAAACUCAAUUCCUUCUUUACAGUUAUUACUUUGGACUAGAGAAUUACAUAAAAGAUUUGACUUGUGUUUUCAUUCUUCAAAAUUUAGGAUACAAUGAACUAUUUCUGACAAGCUCAGGGAGAGAUUUUCCUAUAAUUUCAAUGGGACAUUAUGCUUUUUAUCUUCCAUUUAGAUGAUUAUGUCAAUGUGUUUCCUUUGAAUGACAUUUCACAUGCUUUGAUUUAUCAGCAAUAGUAAGAGUUGCUCCAUGGUUCACUAAGAGCAUUUAAAGAGAUGUCAGUUUUCCAGCUUGUUAUUCACAAAUCUUCAGUUGCUUAUACCAAACCUCAGGAGAGAGGAAGAACUGAGGUUCUAGCCUUGAGCAGCAACCUGGAGUCCCCUGGGAUCUCUGUGUCAGCCUGAGGAGCAAAUUAAAGUGUAAUUUCUCCUUCCAUUCUAGCAGUAAAAAUUUUUGCUAAAACAAGUUGUAUCAAUGAAUUUGAUGAACCACUUUGCCCAGAAACAAUCCUUGCAAGAAGCAACAAUAAAAAAUUAAUUGAAUUGACUUUAGAUCUGAAUUUUUGAAAUGAUACAAUUUAAGAGCUGUGUUUCCAGUAUUUUUCAAAUGAAUCAUUUGGUCAAAAGAUAUCAAGGAAAAAAGGAUUCUUAAUAUAUUUUUCUAAACUGCUUCAUAUAUGCAUUAAAAUAACAUACUUAGAUGUAGAAAACCUUUUGAGAAUGAACAAUAAUAAAAUUUCCCCCCCUAAUAUUUAGUAAAUAAUAAUAUGGUCAAUUUCUUUUGAUUAUGUUGUUUUUAAUAUUCUGUCCAAGUUCUGGCUGGGGCUUGUAGAAGUAAAGAAUAUCAAAACAAACUCAAAUCAUGUCAUCUGAAAUCAAGAAAGUGAGAACACUGAUCUUUGUGACCUUGACUAAGUCAGGUCCUCAGUUUCCUCAUGUAUACUAAAUGGCCUAUACUGGAUUCUAGCUCUAAAUCUACGACUCUAUGAACUUCUUAUAUGGAGCUAGAAAUGAUUGUAGAAAUAUAGUGUUUUAAAACCUUUAAAGUAGAGAAACAGAAGAUUUCUCCAAGGAAGAAGAGCCCUGAGGCUUAGAUUCAUUGACUCCUAGAUAGAGAGCUCAGAAAGGAAACAUUUCUAUAUGUUGUAUUAUUGUAAAAUGUUUCAGAACAGUUUCAGGGAGGGUUAAUUAGUUAACAUAAGAGAUAUAAAGCUGGUUCCCCGAUAAAUUAGAAUGUAAUCAUAAAUGACAUUUGUGUUAUAUUGUUGAACAUUUCAGACUUCAUUUUUUCUAGGUAUGAAAAAAAGACAGGCACAAGGUCUAAAUUAGUCCAGAAAGAAAUGGCAAGUUUGGUAAGUUAUUAUUUGCCAAAGGAGAGAAACUAACAAAAGAAAAUUUGACAAAUAUGGGUUCAGUGUUUUCUGCUAUUAUUGUAAAUUCUUGGACCAUUUAAGUUGCAUUAUGUCUAAGAUGUUUCAGCCAUAAAAUGUUCAUGUAAGUAGUAUGAGAUUUAUUGUCCUUAAAAAAUUGGAAGUUAGGAAAUUGGACCCCAAUCUAACUCUAGCACAAAUUUCUACACAGUUAUUGACAGCUGAUCCCCAUAUUCCAAGGCAAUGAGUUUUGUUCACAAAAAAAUUGUCUUUUUGAUAAGGAUUUAGAGAGGUAAAACCCAUGAUAUCAGUCGUUUAGGGUAUUACUAAUGGAAACAUUCCUUCUACCAUUAUAGCAAAUGGACAUCUACUCUGCCAUUUAUCUUUUAGUAGCCUGGAAACAUUGAAAGGUUAAAAUACUUGUCCAAGAUCACACAAGUAUGUAUUAGGAACUCGAUGUGAAUCUAAGUCUUCUCGACUCCAAGGCUGGCCCAUUCUCCCAUGUUGCCUCCAUGUUCAUCACACACUUGGUAGGUUAUAGACUUAUGAAUGAAAGUGAGUAUUUCCUCACCUGGUCUCAGCACUGUACACCUCGGGAGCACUUAUUAAGUGCUUAGAGUUUAUAUGAGGUUCCUCUGUAGGCAAGACAUUCACCCUUAGGAAACUAUAAGCCUCUUGAAGGGAGGGAAUCUUGCCUUGCUUAUCAGUGGGAAGAGAAUCUUACACACUACAAUCUUCUUUGGCUGAUCCCCAUGCCAGGAAUAUUCUUCCUUCUCUCUUCCACCUCUUGACUUCCUUCAAGACACAACUCAAAUUCUAUCCUUGGCAAGAGACCUUUCCCAAUUUCCUUAGCUUUAGAGAUUACCUUCCAAUUACUCAACAUAUCUCAUUGUAGUUUGUAUGUUGUUUGUCUCCAUUAGCAAAUGGACCCCCAUGAAGACAAAGAUUGUAUUUCUGUCUUUCCCUAACACUUACCACAGUGCCUGGCACAUAGCACAUACUUAAUAAAUUCCUGUUGGCAGAAAAUAGAUUCUGGAAUCAAAAGACUUGGGUUUACCUUCUGCCAUUUUCUAACAAUCUGACCUUUAGCAAGUUAUUGUUCUCUAUGGACCUCAGUCUCUUCAUCUAUAAAAUGAGGAAGUUUACAUUAAAUGGCCUCUAAGGACCCUUCUAGAUAGAGAUGUGGGAUCCUCUGACCUCUCUCUCCCUCUCAGGGCUUUGCACAUAAAUGGUGCUUGAUGCAUAUUUGUUUACCAAAUGAAUGAAAUAAAGGUUAAUUUAGGCAUUAUAUUUUAGCAGCAAGGGCAUAGAAAAUCAAAGCCCUUAGAAAUCAAAUAGAACAAAAGUCCAUGACCAACCUGGAAAAUCACAAUCAUUCAAUACAAGUGGUAAUUCUUUAGUGCAUAAAUAAUUAAUAUUUUGCUUACCUCUUGAUUGGGUCUGUGGAACAAGUCACUCUAAUGAGCUAAGAAAUGGUGACUAAAGCUGCAAUUAGCUCAGAGAAUUGCUACUUUUAUUUUCCCCAGUGGACUUCAGAACACUUCUGCCUGGGUAUGUGUGCCAGCAUUCUCCAGAAGGGAGGGGCAAAGUUUAAUAUGACACAGAGAUCAGUUUCCCAGAUCUCACCAGAGCUAAUCUUUUGGGGCAUCCCAGCCUCUCUGAAACACUCAUUUCUUUUCCAAAGAGGAAUUUUUAGCUUCGCAGGAGAAAUUCAAAGCAGAUCCCUAAGCUAGAAAGGGUCAUUCCAGGUGGGACCCAAUGCCUAGCUACAAAUCCCUUUUCUCCAAGUGCAUGUGAAGCCUGACCAGUGAAGGAAGAGGAGGAAUACAGAACCUCAGUCUACAAUUCCCUUGAUACCAUCAUGGACAAGUUAAUUUUGCCAAAAUCAUAGUAAGGAGAAGAGAAAGAAGUAUAUAGCUUGUUUGCAAAUCAGCAUUAAAUGUAGAAAUGGAUGACAUUCUUGGAUUUUUACACAAAAAAAAGAGUAUCACAAGAGGUUCUUGAAUGUGAAAGUGAACAUAUGGGUCAUGCUUUAGGCAGCCAUACUCUAAAAUGGAUUUUAAAAACAUAUUUAGUGGUUAGGUAUUCCUUAAGGCACAGGGAGAUCUCCUUUGGUCCAGGGGCUUCUUUGCCUAAGGAUGAAAUUUUAUUAAAUCAACAUUGUUAGUAUUAACAAGACACUUUAACAUUUUUAAAGCAGUUUGUAAAUUUGUCUACAUAGCAACCCUAGGAGGCAGGUGCUAUUAUUAUCCCUAUUUUAUGGUUAAGUGACUUGCCCAGGGUUACACAGCUAGUCAAUAUGUUAGACUAGAUAUGCACUCAAGGUCCUCCUGUCUUCAAGUCUGAUGCUCUACCCCCUGAACCACCUUGCUGCCAUGAUCGUAGAUUUAAAUCUAGAAGGGACCUAAGUGACCAACUAGUCUAAUGCUAUCCUUUCAAAUAGAGAAUUAUACUUAAAGUCAAACAAGUAGGCAGUAUCCGAGUCAAGAUUCAAACCCAGGUUACCCCAUAGAAUCAUCAGUGAGAGGGAGGGCCUUCAAAGGCCAUCUGGUCCAACUUGUCAUCUCAAGAGGAGCUCAGGGGAGGCCGAAUGUUAUCUGGGGACAAAACAUCUGAGGUGGAAUCUAAACUCAUAUAUUCUUACCCCAAAGCAUUGGUCCUUUCCACUAGAUCACCCUGUCUGGGCAAGAAAUGGUUUCUCUGAGCCUGUUUCCUCAGCUGUAGAACGGGGACAGCAGUGCCUCUAAAUGUGCUUCAAUGGGACAUUCUGAAGAUGAAAGGAGAUAACGUACCACAUGUUCCAAAUGUGAGCCAAGAGGCACCUGCAGGGUCAUGGGUAGAGAGUGAAAUGAUUUGGAAACUGAAGGCAGUGCAUUUAGAGCCCUAAGGAAGCCCAGGAAGCAGUCUGGAGAAGGGACAGGGUGGUCUUGGAGAGAGCUGGUUGAUAGGUGACAAUUGCCAGAUCUAAUGGGGCUCUUCUAAUGGCUAGAGAAGUUUUCUCAGUAGGUGUAAAAUGGCAGAUGAUCUUCUGAACAUGAGUGAUGCUUUCUAACAGACUCCGAUAGGUGCCUGCAUUUUCAUGUAUGUUUAGAAUCAUCUGGCGAAAUGACCUCACCCCAGUCAGGAAGUCAGUGGGCUCUGGGAUCUCUCAGGAGUGACUUCCCAAGUGGAAGGUGAUCUAAGGAAGCUUCCUGGGUGUCAUUUAAAAGAAUGUAAGCUCCUUGAAGGCAGGAACUGUUUCCUACGUUGUCUUUGUAUCCAUAGUGCAAGUCACAGUGUCUGGUGCUUAGUAGGUACUUACAAUGCAAACUUACAUUUGAUGAAUCCUUCUGUCUACUCACAUAUAUUGCACAAGAUUGUUGUAGAGAGAAGCAAAAUAUUAUAUGUAUGUUCUGAAAAACAUUCACUGCUCUUGGAGUCAAAGAACCUAAGUUUAAAUCUUGCAAUUGUCAAAUAUUACCUAUAUGAUGCUGGACUGGUCAUUUUGUCACCAUCUGCCUCAGUUUCCUCAACUGUAAAUAGGGACUAUAAUAGCGUUUACCUCCCGUGUUGUGUGAGGAUCAAAGGAGAUAAUAAUGGUAAAGUGCUCCACACAGUGCCUGGCACAUAGUAGGAGCUUACUAAAUGCCUUUUUUCCCCUUUCCCCUCUUCUCUCCUUUCUCUGUGCCAGACUAGAGAUUUCUGGAUUAAGAUUUGAGGAAAUUCAGAGGCUGGGUCAUGAUGCCCUUCCAGUAAGCUGCUAAACCUUAGUGUUCUAGCAGCCCCUUUCUUACCAAGGCAUUCUUAAUUCACUGCUCUCACACUUUGGCUAUCAUUCUCCUUUUGGCCUGAGGAUGGCUGGGUUUUUUUUUCAUGUUCUAUGCAACCAUUUUCUUGCUUUUCCUUUUUCCUUCCUGCAGUGAGGCCAUCAGGGAUUCCUUGGUGAUCAGGGUAGUUAGAAAUAAUGUGAGAAUAGGCUCUUAUAAAACCCAUUUUCACUUGGAGUCUCGUCCUUCUGCCAGAGUGUCAGAGGUGUCAGCUUAGAUGGCAUGGCAUGAUUCACAACUUGGUUUAAUCUCAACUUACAAUGAGUCAGACUCAAUACUUGGGCUGAGAGGUAAGUCAAUUGGUCUGGUUGUUACUUCUGACCAGUUGAUCCACUCUUCCCUGGAAAGUUUCCCUUUGCCUUUCAAUAGCUUGCUAGAGUCUUGACCAUUUCCAUAAGAUAUGUGUCACUAUGUGUGUAGAAGCAAUCUUUGUGGGUCCCUUACUAGAACCGGCUAAAAUGGCAUGUGGGCUCAACCUGACUAUAAGUGUUUCAUUUGGUAUUUGUUAUUCUAUUCUUUCUGUCUGAUUCUUUGUGACUGCCAUUUGGGGUUUCCUUGGCAAAGAAACUGGGAGAAGAUUUUCCAUUUCUUUCUCUAAUUCAUUUUAUAAAUUUAAAAAUGAGGAAACUGAGGCAAACAGGGUGAAGUAACUUGCCCAGGGUCACACAAUUUGUUAAGUGACUGAGAUCUGAACUCAGAUCUUCCUGACUCUAGACUCAGCACCCUAUCCCCUCUGCUACCUAACCCCUGUCCAUUCUAUACAAGGCAUCCCAAAAGUCAUAGUGCCAUUUUAAGAUCUGAAAAAGUUGUAGGAUGAGGUUCUUCUCAUGUUUAAGCUGGCAUUCCCUGGUAACCAUGGCUUCACGGCUUUCUGAGAUAGCUCAAACUUGGAUGGACCACUCUUAUAUAACUAUUCCCUUCAUAAAAUAUCAAUGACCAUUUUAAAUAACUGAUAAGCACUUAUUAAAUGUACUCUGCUCUGGCUGGGUUAUACAGAAACAAAAAUAGAAGAGUCCCCAUCCUCAAGGAACUUAUAUUCUGUCAUGGAAAUAAAAUGUCCACAUAUACAAAUAUGUACAUAUAUGUAGAGACAGAUAUCAUCAAUGCAAAUUGAUUUUCCUGUGGGAGAAACAUUCUCAGCCGAGGGAAUCAGGAAAGAUCUAAUCGGGUGGGGAGGGGAAAUUUGAGCUGAGUUUUGAAAAGACAUUUGUGAUUCUGGGAGGACAAGAUAUGGAAGGCCUGGAAAGCAUGAAGGCCAACUUGGGCAAAAGUAUGGAGUUGGGAGAUAGAUGCUAUAUUUGAGAGACACUGAGAAAGACAUUUUGGGUAGACCAAGGAGCCUGGAAUGGGAAGUGGGUGUAAUUAGUUCAGAAGGCAGAUAGAGGCCAAAUUCUGAAAUUCUUUAAAUGCCAGAUAGAGUAGUUUCUUCUUAUCUUUGAGUCAAAAAGAGCACCAUUCAUGGGUCUCAGUGAGGUACUUGGGAAAAUUUUAAUUUGAAAAAAAAAAGUGUGGACAGUGGGAAGGGUGCUGGAUGUUGGAGAAGAUCUGGAUUCAAAUACAGCCUCUGUCAUUUACUGCCUGUGUGAUCUUGGCCAAAAAUCCUUGGCCUCUCUGGGCCUCAGUUUCUUUAUCUGUGAGUUAAGGGGAUAGCAGUAGAUGACUUCUUGGGUGCCUUCACUUUACAGAGGAGGAGGAGCAGGAGAUCUGAAAAGUUAAAUGCCUUGGCCAAGGAGUCAGCCAGUUCAUGAGCUCUUAGGAUAUAGAGAGGAAGAGGUCUUAGAAAUAAUCUGGCAGGAGAGCCUCAUUUGACUGAAAAGCAAAAUCAAUAGCAAGAUUUUAGGAAGUGCUAGAAGUAUCAGAAGGAGAAUAAACUAGAGGCAUAGGAAGCAGAUGGUGCUGCUGAUGCUGGUGCUGCUGUUAUUGCUGGUGAUGAAGAAAUGAAGUAGAGGCAUAGAAAGCAGAUGCUGCUGCUGUUGACAGUGAAGAAAUGAACUAGAAUCAGAGGAAGUAGAUGGUGAUGCUGCUGGUGGUGAUAUAGAAAUUAACUAGAAGCAUAGGUGCUCCUGCUGCUGCUGGUAGUGGUGAUGAAAUUAACUAGAGGAAUAGAAAGCAGAUGCUGCUGCUGUUGACAGUGAAGAAAUGAACUAGAAUCAGAGGAAGUAGAUGGUGAUGCUGCUGGUGGUGAUAUAGAAAUUAACUAGAAGCAUAGGUGCUGCUGCUGAUGCUGGUAGUGGUGAUGAAAUUAACUAGAGGAAUAGAAAGCAGAUGCUGCUGCUGUUGACAGUGAAGAAAUGAACUAGAAUCAGAGGAAAUAGAUGGUGCUGCUGCUGCUGGUGAUGAAAUUAACUAGAGAAAUAGAAAGCAGAUGCUGCUGCUAUUGAUGGUGAAGAAAUGAACUAGAAUCAGAGGAACUAGAUGGUGCUUCUGCUGCUGAAGAAAUGAACUAAAAGCACAAGAAAUAAAUGAUGAUGGUGAUAAUAAUCUGGCAUUGUAAGAUUUGCAAAGGGCUCUCGACAUGCAUUAUCUCAUUUGGUCUUUGUGGUGACUUUUAAAAUAUUCUUUGAAUCAGUCGAGAGCAAUAGAAAGAACAGAAUUCACAUAACUGAGGCAGAGAGGCAUUCGAGGGUUUGCCAAGGUCACCCAGGUGACAAUAAAUAACUCUUUCCAGCCUCCAUGUUUUUAUGUCCCUUCAAAGACAGGAAUCGAGAAUGCUGUGUCUCCGCCCCCUGCUGGACAAAUACCACAUUGCUCUUCUUGUGAACAUUUCUUGGCUAACCCUUCACUUUGCCUCUUUUUUUUUUCCUU